This 278-nucleotide long non-coding RNA is filed under the name Carica papaya (papaya). RNAcentral describes it as "long non-coding RNA (CPAP_LNC007445)". Lineage: Eukaryota; Viridiplantae; Streptophyta; Magnoliopsida; Brassicales; Caricaceae. The record is from RNAcentral.
CCGUUUCUCAUUUCACCAGCCUCCUAGUAUCCAUGGGGAUCCAUAGGGGUAUUCCUGCUACACGUGAAUCAUUUUCCUUAACAAUCUUAAUUCCAGGGCCGUCCCCAUACCCCGUCUGGUAUGAGAGUGAAUUGGGCUGUCUCCAUACCCCGUCCGGUAUUAGCGCCAAAUGACCAAUACUGCAUACCUCGUCCGAUAUGAGACAACAUUCACGGUAGAGUUCCCUAUGAACCCAGUCCGUCCACUAUCUCCUAGGAUAUCUAGCAAGGCUGUCACCU